UAACGCUAGCGGCGUGUCUUAGCCAUGCAAGUCGUACGGGCUUAUAGCAAUAUAAGUCAGUGGCAAACGGGUGAGUAACACGUGAGUAAUCUACCCUUAGGAUUCGGAUAACAGGGGGAAACUUCUGCUAAUACGAAAUAAUAUCCUUCUGACGAUGUCGGGAGGAUCAAAGCGGGGGACCGCAAGGCCUCGCACCUAAGGAUGAGCUCGCGGCCCAUUAGCUUGUUGGUAGGGUAAUGGCCUACCAAGGCGACGAUGGGUAGCCGGCCUGAGAGGGUGUCCGGCCACAUUGGAACUGAGACACGGUCCAGACUCCUACGGGAGGCAGCAGGCUAGAAAUUUGGGCAAUGGGCGAAAGCCUGACCCAGUGACGCCGCGUGAAUGAUGAAGGCCUUCGGGUUGUAAAGUUCUUUAGUCAGGGACGAUGGAGUAUAAUGCUAAUAUCAUUAUAUUCUGACGUUGUACCUGAAGAAUAAGCUCCGGCUAACUCCGUGCCAGCAGCCGCGGUAAUACGGAGGGAGCAAGCGUUGUCCGGAAUCACUGGGCGUAAAGGGAGUGUAGGUGGUAUGGAAAGUUGGAUGUGAAAUCUUGCGGCUCAACCGUAAAAUUGCAUUCAAUACUACCAUUCUAGAGUGCAGGAGAGGAGAGCGGAACUCCUAGUGUAGCGGUGGAAUGCGUAGA
Molecule: ribosomal RNA, 681 nt
Filed under: uncultured bacterium
Lineage: Bacteria
Description: bacterial SSU rRNA
Rfam family: Bacterial small subunit ribosomal RNA
Source: RNAcentral